UAAUAAUUACUAUAAUGACAAUUAUUAACAAUAUAAAAAAACAAAGAUUAUCCUUUGUUGUUUAGAAAAAUUAAAAACCCUCUCAUGUUUUAAAAUAAGUUCAAAUUCUACUGCAACUCUAACUGUGUUAGCUUUAUAUAUCAUUGUACUAUUUGAUACAUGGUUUUGAUGUUAGCCAUAAAAUUUAAAUAUUUUUAGAGUAUAAAUAAAGUGAAAUGACUUAUAUAACCCUAAUGAUUAAAUAAAUUUAAUAAUAAAUUAUCGAGAAAAAUUACUUCACACACACACACACACACUGUGGAUAUAUAUAACCCAAUGUUAUUCCAAUUUGAAUUUACAACUAUUAGGGAUAUUUACGACAUUUUCCCACUUAUAAUUUUUCUCUAUAAUUUACAAUUUAUUAUAAAAUAAAAUUUGAUCAUUAAGGAUAUAUAAGUUAUUUUACUUAAUUUGUAUUUUCAAAAUAUUUAAAUUUUAUAGCUAACAGUAAGAUUAGGGGUAGAAUAGUAAAAUGAUAUAUAAAGCUAACGUUAUUAUAACUUUUUGGGGGGGGGGGCAGUAGGAGGUAAUUCUCAUUUUCUCUUAACUAUCAUUAAUUAUAGUACUAGUAAUAAUUCAAGAUCAAAUAUGUUACAUGCGAUAAUUUAAUAAUGUAGCAAAAUAAAAAAUUAAACAAAGUAUGCAAUAAUUUAAUUAAUUUGUGAUAAAUUUGUAUGAAGUAAUUUGUGUAAGAGAAACUUUGUGAGUAUAAUCCAAAUAUCAAAUAUAUGGUACAUUAUAUAUGCCUUGUAUACAGUACAAAUUUAUACCAUUAAUAUUAGUCACUAUUUCAACUGAUAUUGAGAAUACCAAUAUUUGAUGAUUAAUAAGGAUAUUUGGUACUAUGAAUAAUUAUAAUUAUUUGAAAACUAUCCAAUAGUUAAAUGGAAAAUAAGAAAAAAAUAUACUUAGUUUACACUAAUAUAAAUAUUAUUCUCACUAAUAUAGACAUUACAUGUUUCAAAGUAAUUUUUUCAGCCAUAAGAAAAUGCAAAUUUUUCAUGCUGAGGAGGGUGUCUGUUGAGUGUUAGAAAAUGCAUAUUUAUAAAGGAGAAAACCGUCAUUUUACAUUUCAAGUCUUACUAACAACCCUUACUUUUAUGUAUUUAACCUUCUUGUGAUUUAAUUACAUGUGUUUUAUUUUAAUUAAGUAUUUUAUGUAUUUUAGGGGCAUUAUAGUCAUUUCACAAUAAAGGAGAAAUCAGACGGCAAAACGGACAUCACUUUUGAACUCAAGACGGUCAAAAACCUUAAGAGGAGCAUAAAAGGAAAAAUGGCACUAUUCACGUGUACGGUACUAUUCACAUGUACGGUACUGUAUACGUUACUGUUCACGACACUGUUCACAUAGACGGAUGAUGAUGUGGCAUUGACCGAUGAUGUGGCAUUGACUGAUGAGGUGUCACGAUCCUGUUGGACUAAAAUUCUUAUGUACUGUUGAUGGUGACGUGGCAGCAUAUCAGUGGACGAAAAAUCUCGCGUACGGUGCAUGCAUCACACAGGAUUAUUUUCAACCAAAUCGUGUUACUGUUCAUCCGGGUCAAACCGUGUUACUGUUCAUCCGCAUGGUCAAACCGUGGACUGUUGACUGAUGACGUGGCGCAAUCCUGAGCGUCCAAACUGUUUUUAAUCCGAUGGCCAUGAUUUACUCCAUGUAUCUAUAAAAAGGGGGCCUCUCCCCCCUAAUUUGAUAUCUCUGAAUCCAUUUUUGGGAUCCAUUUUCUAUAAUUCCUUCUCCAUCUUGUAUUUUCUUCGUAUUUUAAUAAAUUUCCAUUUUGCCCCUAGUUCAAUUAUAAGUGGCUAAUUUUCUUUCAAGCUUGGGUUGAAGGUGAAGUCUCAACAUGUGUCAUGGGCUUAAUUUGGUAAAUUUAUUUUCUCUUCCCCUCUAAUUUUUGUGGAUGUUUUGACUUCUCGUCGACAAAUAAUAAUAGUCUUGUCUAGAUACCGCCUUGGUUACACCGGCUCUCUAGUAUAAGGUUAUUAUUAUUUGGCACGAUAAGCCCUUAGUAUCAUAUUGAUUAGAGCGUGGUUCAUGAGGUGUGGACUCCCCCCUCAUGAUUUAAUUGGCAUUAAUACGGAUUAUUUAGCCCAUGAUGUAUGUUGAUACGGAUCCAGAUACCCAAGUACGUCAAUUUAAUAGAUUUUCUCUUCAAUUUAUUCUCUCCAUUGCAAUUCCAAUUUUAGAAUUUAUUCUUGCCAUUUUAAUUUAAGUAUUAGCAUAUUCCAAAUCAUUUCCACCAUAAAUCCAACUACCCAUUUACAAAAUUAAUUCUAUAUAUAAUUAAAAUCCACCUCCUCGUGGGAUCGACACUCGUCACCAUUAGUCUAUACUACAAUAGAUUCGUGCGCUUGCGAGUACAUUAAAAUUUGCACAACAAGUUUUUGGCGCCGUUGCCGGGGAGGUAAGUAAUUUUAAUUCGUAAAAUUAAUUUUUUGUGAAUAAUUUCUUUUAUUUGUUUUCUUGUAUUUUUUUUAUUAUUAAAAAAAAAGUGAAUCUACAUUUAAAGGUUAGUAUUUUUUUUCUCUUCUUUAAAAUUCUGCAAUUUAAUUUUCAAUUUAUUUUUCUUUGUAAUUUAUUUUAUUUUUAUUUUAUUUUAAUUAAUUUAAUUUUUAGUUAAUUUCUUUCACGUAUUUAUUUUUGUGUAUUUUUAUAGAAAGGUUGUAAUAGCGCAAUAAGGUUAGUAUCGUAAUUUCUCCCUCUUCUUUAUUUUUAUUUGUUUUGUUCCCAUCUUUAUUUUUAUUUUAUUUGUUUUGCAUGCAUGGUCGUAGGUCAUUAUUACCCAAUCUUGAACCUAUAGACCUUGAACUUGAGAAAACACUUCGCACACACAAACAUAUUAAAAAUAAAAUGGAUUUGCAACCACAGGAGAGGCCAUUUAAGGACUACUUCAGUCCUUUAGCUAAUUUGAGCACAUCAUGCAUAAGAUACCCUAAUGUAGCUGCUAGGAGUUUUGAACUAAAACCUAGUGUGCUAAAUUGUCUCCCCACAUUUUAUGGCCUAGAAAAUGAGGAUCCAUAUAAUCAUCUGAAUGAUUUUCAUGCCAUUUGUCAAACUUUUAAAUAUGAAAAAUUUUCAGACGAUGAUGUUAAACUCAGAUUAUUCCCAUUUUCUUUAAAGGAUAGAGCUCGUUCAUGGCUUAAUACAUUGCCUGCUAAUAGCAUUUCAUCAUGGGAACAAAUGGUAACUAAAUUUUUGAAUAAAUAUUUCCCAGUACAUAAAACUAAUGCUAUUCGCAGGGAAAUCUCGGAGUUUACCCAGAGAGAGGACGAGCAAUUUUUCGAAACAUGGGAGCGAUUUAAUGGGCUACUCUUGAAGUGUCCACAUCAUGGGUACGAGAAAUGGCACCAAUGCCAAUACUUUUUGGAGGGAUUAUUGCCGAAUGUGCAAGAAUGGCUAAUGGCAACAAGUGGAGGAGAGCUAAUGUCAAAAAGUGCAUCAGAGAUUUGGGAAUUCUUCCAGCGACAAGCGGAUAAUUCCCAACAACGGAGUCGAUCACUCAGGAAUACUAGAAGAAUUAAGGGAGUAAAUGAGGUUCACAUUGGCGAGUCAAGUUCAGAAAUUAAAGAAGUCAAAGCGAUAAUUGAAGGUCUCUCUCGACAAAUAGCAUCGUUAUCGACUGCUAAAUCAACAGAGCCACAUGACCAUGACUCAUACUCAGAUCAAGCCAAUGCCAUAGGUGUAAUGAGAAAACCAUCGAAUUACAACCCAUACUCCAACACAUAUAACCCUGGAUGGAGAGACCACCCCAAUUUUUCAUGGUCUCAAGGAUUCCAACAGAAUGGACCAGCAGCUCCAGCUCCACCAAUGCAACCAAUUCCACAAAAUCCUCAAGCCUCUCAGCCCCCAUUUAGACCAUACAAUCAGAACCAGAACUACUCUCAACCCAGACCAUGGGAGGAUGCAUUCCAGAAUUUCAAAAAUCUUACUCACUCCACGAUUGAGCAACAGAAUCGCACCAUUGAUGGACUACGAAAUGAGUUGAGAGCAGGCUUCAACUCACAAGCUCAAUCAGUUUCAAGCCUCGAGAAGAUGGUGGGACAACUUGCUUCUUCAGUUCAGACCUUGGCAAUGACCGUUGAGAAAGGUAAGUUUCCAAGUCAACCAGUGCCUAACCCUAAAGGAGUGCAUGAAGCAAGUACCAGUUCACCACAGUAGCAUGGAGAGGUCAAAGCAGUCAUGACCUUACGAAAAGGAAAAGAAGUCGACAACAAAGUGGAGAUGCCGGUGACAAAAGAAAAUCAAAUUGUACCUGUGAAUGUCGAGGAAUCAUCACCGGAGGAGAAAGAAGAAAUCAACCCACGAGAAUACGUUCCGAAAGCUCCAUUUCCUCAGAGGUUAGCGAAAGGAAAAAAGGGAAAAUCCACAGGUGAGAUUCUUGAAAUCUUCAAACAGGUAAGUGUUAACAUCCUUUUGCUUGAUGCUAUUAAACAAGUUCCAUCUUAUGCCAAGUUUCUUAAAGACCUUUGUACUAAAAAGAGAAAUAUGCAUGUUCAAAAGAAGGCAUUUUUAACAGAAAACGUUAGUUUUAUACUCCAACAUAAAAUUCCUUUAAAAUGCAAAGACACAGGCUCCCCCACUAUCUCGUGUAGUAUAGGGAACCACACAAUUGAGAAUGCUUUGUUGGAUUUAGGAGUUAGUGUAAAUUUGUUGCCUUAUUCUGUAUUUGUGAAACUUGGACUUGGAGAAUUACACCCAACUCCAGUGGUGUUACAGCUUGCAGAUCGGUCCACAAAAAUACCUCGUGGUAUUGUGGAGGACGUGCUUAUUCAGGUAGACAAGUUUUAUUUUCCUGUUGAUUUCAUUGUAAUUGACACUCAACCUAUACAGGAUUCAAGGAAGCACAUUCCCAUUAUCCUAGGCCGACCUUUCUUGGCAACUGCGGAUGCUCACAUUCAAUGCAGGACUGGAAAUAUGCAGUUGUCUUUCGGCAACAUGACUAUGGAGCUGAACAUCUUCAACAUUGCCAAACAACCUCACAAUGCAGAUGAUGAAAUUGUUGAUGUGGAUUUAAUUGAAGCAUUAGUUGAUAAUACUUUUCUUUCAAACCUUAGUGAUGAUCCUUUACAAACAUGUUUAACUCACUUUGGUUUGGAUUUUGAUAUUGACAGAUCGGUCGAUGAGGUCAACGCUUUACUUGACUCAGCACCAUCCAUGGACACUAAUAAAUGGAAGUCAAGAGUUGAGCAACUAGCACCAUCAGAGAAGCAACUUAUUCCAUCAUCAGAAUCACCACCGAAACUCGAGCUCAAACCAUUGCCCAACACUUUGGAAUAUGCGUUUUUGGGAGAAGAAAGUACUCUGCCGGUAAUCAUCUCAUCAUCCCUAAAUGACGAACAAAAAGGUAAGUUGUUGGAUGUUUUAAAAGAGCACAAAGGAGCAUUAGGAUGGACCAUAGCAGAUAUAAAAGGUAUAAAUCCAGUAGACUGCAUGCAUUACAUUCACCUCGAUGAAAAUGCUAAAUCUACUAGGGAAAUGCAACGUCGGUUAAAUCCUAAUAUGAAAGAAGUUGUUAGAAUUGAAGUCCUUAAGCUAUUAGAUGCAGGUAUCAUUUACCCAAUUUCUGAUAGUUCAUGGGUAAGUCCUGUACAAGUCGUCCCCAAAAAGUCAGGAGUCACAGUAGUUACCAAUGCUGAUAAUAAAUUGAUACCAACUAGGGUAACUACAGGAUGGCGUGUAUGCAUUGAUUAUAGAAAAUUGAAUUCUGUCACACGUAAAGACCAUUUUCCUUUACCAUUUAUUGAUCAAAUGCUUGAUAGAUUAGCAGGCCAUGAAUUUUAUUGCUUUCUAGAUGGCUACUCAGGAUAUAAUCAGAUUCCCAUAGCACCAAAAGAUCAAGAGAAAACUACUUUCACUUGCCCUUUUGGCACAUUUGCAUAUAGGAGAAUGCCAUUUGGAUUAUGUAAUGCACCUGCUACAUUUCAACGAUGCAUGUUGAGCAUUUUCUCUGAUAUGGUUGAACGAUUCCUUGAAGUCUUUAUGGAUGAUUUUUCUGUUUUUGGUGACUCGUUUGAUCAAUGUUUGCAUCAUCUAACACUAGUUCUGCAGAGAUGUGUCGAGAAGAACUUGGUCUUAAAUUGGGAGAAAUGUCAUUUUAUGGUAAAACAAGGUAUUGUUCUCGGUCACAUCAUUUCGAGCAAAGGUAUUGAGGUUGACAAAGCCAAGGUGGAUCUCAUUUCUAAUCUUCCUCCACCCAAAACAGUCAGAGAAGUAAAAUCUUUCCUUGGGCAUGCUGGUUUCUAUAGACGAUUCAUUAAAGAUUUUAGCAAAGUUUCUAGACCCUUAUGCAAUUUACUUGCUAAGGAUGUACCUUUUAUCUUUGAUGAUUCAUGUCUUGUUGCGUUUGAAAAAUUAAAGCAUUUGUUGACAUCAUCAUCCAUCAUUCAGCCCCCGAACUGGAGCUUACCAUUUGAGCUUAUGUGUGACGCAUCUGAUUAUGCAGUAGGAGCAGUAUUAGGACAAAGAGUUGAUCGAAUUCCCCAUGUCAUUUACUAUGCUAGUAUGACAUUGAAUGAUGCACAGUUAAACUAUUCAACUACUGAAAAAGAAAUGCUAGCAAUAGUGUUUGCAUUAGAGAAAUUUCGAUCUUAUCUCAUUGGUUGUAAAAUAAUUAUAUUCACAGAUCAUGCAGCUCUUAAAUAUCUUCUCAUAAAGAAAGAUGCAAAAGCUAGACUAAUUCGUUGGGUGUUACUUUUGCAGGAAUUUGACUUGGAAUUCAAAGAUAAAAAAGGCACAGAAAAUGUUGUGGCGGAUCACCUCUCUCGUCUCCAUUUUGACACAACUACAGAGCCAUUACCAUUAAAUGAGUCAUUCCCUGAUGAACAAUUGAUGAAUGUGGAAGUAUUACCGUGGUAUGCUGACAUCGUGAAUUAUCUUGUUACAGGUCAACUUCCAGAGCAUUUGACCAAGCAAGAUAAGGCUAAAUUCUUUGCAGAGAUAAAGAAUUUCUUUUGGGAUGACCCGUAUUUGUUCAAGUAUUGUACAGACCAAAUUGUUAGACGAUGUGUCCCAGAAAGUGAAAUUCAGAAUAUCCUUUCAUUCUGCCAUGAACAAGCUUGUGGAGGCAAUUUCAGUGCUAAGAAAACCGCGACUAAAGUUUUACAAUGUGGUUUUUAUUGGCCAACUAUAUUUCGAGAUGCUUACACUUUCUGUUCUUCAUGUGAUAGGUGUCAACGAAUGGGGAGCAUUACGCGAAGGAACAUGAUGCCACUAAAUCCAAUUUUAGUGGUUGAGAUUUUUUACGUAUGGGGUAUCGACUUUAUGAGACCCUUUCCCCCGUCUUUUGGUCAUCAAUACAUAUUGGUUGCUGUUGACUAUGUAUCAAAAUGGGUAGAAGUAAUUCCAUGUAGGACCAAUGAUCACAAGGUGGUGAUAGCAUUUUUGAAAAGCAACAUUGUUUCACGCUUUGGAUUCCCUCGAGCGAUAAUCAGUGAUGGUGGUGCCCACUUUUGUAACAAAGCAUUCAAAGCUCUUUUGACAAAGUAUUCAAUCACACACAAAGUGGCAACUCCGUAUCAUCCGCAAACCAGUGGCCAAGUUGAGAUAUCCAAUCGAGAAAUAAAGCACAUAUUAGAAAAAACGGUGAGGCCAGACAGGAAAGAUUGGUCAUUAAGACUUAAUGAUGCAUUAUGGGCAUAUAGAACGGCUUUUAAGACCCCGAUUGGGAUGUCACCCUACAGGCUAGUGUAUGGAAAAGCUUGCCACCUACCUGUGGAGCUCGAGCAUCGUGCGUAUUGGGCCAUCAAGAAAUUCAAUUUUGACAUGCAGCAAGCCAGCUCAGAAAGAAGAUUACAGCUGGCAGAACUUGAAGAAAUUCGCAAUGAUGCAUACGAAAAUGCCAAGAUUUACAAGCAACGAAUGAAAGUCUUCCAUGAUAAGCAAAUUAUGAGAAAAUCGUUCACUCCAGGUCAGAAAGUGUUUUUAUUCAAUUCUCGCUUGCACCUAUUCCCAGGUAAGUUACGCUCUCGUUGGUCUGGCCCAUUUAUUGUUCAUACUGUUUUUCCACAUGGGGCAAUUGAAAUUAAGGACCCAAAGAACGGUGUCACGUUUAAAGUUAAUGGUCAAAGAUUAAAGCCAUAUUUAGAAUACCAACCACAUGGAGAAGACAUCGAAAUAAAUUUGAGUGACCCACCAAAUUUGAAUUGAUUUUUUUUUUUUAGUGAUUUGAUUUUUUUUCUUUUUUUCUUUAUUUUAUUCUUUUGCUAAUUGAAAUUAUUUUUGCAUAAGUGUGUUUGUUUAACUAUUAAGUUUUCUCUUAUUAUUUUUAAUCAUGAGUCUCAUACUUAGACCAUUCCUCCUGAACAUUCUUAAACCACUUCAACGUGUCAAAACUCAUCUCAAAAGGCAGAUUCAAUUUUGUAAAACACAACGCAUUUGGGCUCUACAACCACCAGAGUUAGUUGCCUAUGUUGAGGGUUUAGAACGCCAACUCAGAGACAUUGAGAGAAGUGUUUACGACAUCCAGUUGGAGCUUGAGGUAAAUUCAAUAAGAGGACGAUUUUAAUUUUCUUUGUGUGUUUUAAUUUGUUUUUCUGUUUGUGUGCUUUAGUUUGUUACCCCGGUGAAGUGGCGGAUAACGGUACUCCGUGACAAUCAAGUCGGUUACUUCAGUUUCCCAUAAUAACUGAUAUUCUGAGGCGAAAGUAUGGACAGAAACGAGACUCUAGCGAAGCUUCACAAGCGAUUCCCUUCACUUCCUCAGAAUGCCCUCCUUACGAUCUAUAAAGCUCGGUCCGAACGCAUGCGAUUACUCAUGAGGAAUAACAUACCUGCUGAUAUCCGUUGGUUAAUUGAGGCGAAAGUACGAUCGACAGGUGAGUUACCUCCAAAAUUUAUUGCAUUCAUGCUUGGUUGUGGUAAAGGAAAUUAUGCAAGAAAACGACGAGCUCAAAGAAUUUCUGUUGCUUGUCAUAAGUGUGCUAGAAUGAGUUGCAAUAAAAACCCAUGUUCUUUAGGAAUGGUGUUUGAUAACAGGGAAGAUAAGAUUCAAUUCAUUAGAGAUGGCUUGAAUAAGGAGUCAUUGGAUGAUAUCCUUCUGUCUCUUGAAACGCAUCCCAGUGGAUAUGUGCAAGGAGCGAUUCUCCAGUUAUGGCCAUUAUUCCAGAAAGAGCAUGCACGAUAUAGUCUCGGGAAUCUGACUAUAAACGACCCUGUUUGCCAGUUUAUAAGAAAACUGGAUGGGAAGCCUAUCCUCAACCCAUAGAGGGCGUUCAAGCCGUUUCUGGACGUAAAACCAGAGGAAGAUGUGAGCCACAGUCGCAACUACCUGUAAAUAUCCUUUCACUUUACUGUUAUUUUAUUUCACUAUUGUUUUAUUGUGUGUAUUAUUGUCCUUAAUAAUUUUAUUACUGUUUGCUUUUUUCUUAUUACUGUUUACUUUUUCCUUUUUACUGUUUCCUUUUUGACUCGCGAGCCACGUGCUUUACGCGUUAUUUGACACUGACAUGUUACCUCAUACACAACUGUGACCCACUGUCACCAAGACUCUUAAAUGUGAUUUUUUUUGUCAAGCACUCACAAAUUAUUUUUCGAGAAGUAUCACAAUGGCAGCUACUCUAAAUAGACAAUUCAAGAACAUUUGUGUGCUUUCUGGAUUUACCUAUGGCAAACAUAAAGAGUUCGUUGAGGCAGCCAUAGAUCUUGGUCGAAGCAUAGCAGCGAGAAAAUUACACUUGGUGUAUGGAGGAGGUAAUCGAGGGUUAUCAAAAAUGGUCUCAGAAGCAGCUUUUAUCAGAGGAAGUCAAGUGUUAGGCAUCAUCCCAAGAGUCCUAAAACCAUUGGGCAGUUCGUCUGACUCAUCAACUGGAGAAGAAUUAGUCGUCUCAGGUAUGCAAGAAAGAAUAACUGAAAUGCUUAAUUAUGCUGAUGCUUUUAUUUUCCUUCCAGGAGAUCUUGCAACACUAGAGGCAUUUAUGACACUAGCAUCUUGGGCCCAUCUAUACAUUCACCAGAAACCCAUCGGUUUGUUAAAUGUCAAUAACUUUUAUGAUGGCUUUAUCGCAUUUCUUAACCAUGCAAUAAAAAACUAUUUCAUUCCUUCUAAUGUGAAAAAACUCUUUAUUUGUUCUCACACUGCUACUGAGCUACUUGAUAUGUUACAAGCUUAUAAACCGGAGCCAGACCCCUGGACCUUUGUGUUGGAGCGACCAAAUAAUGAUGGUAAUAGUAGCCGCAGUAAGAAGUACAAAUUAGAUUUAACUCUCCGCCUGUAAAUAUUUUCUUCUGUGUUGCACCACCCAGGUGAUGUCUUUUAAACUCUACUUCUUUCCUUUACAACAUUGAGGACAAUGUUUCGUUCUGGUUGGGGGGAGGGAAUAGUCGACAAUUGUGGAAUCUUGGUUAAGUUUUUACUAAUUUUUUGUUGUAGAAACUAACUGUUGCUAACUUUUUGUGUUGAAGAUGGCUGAAUAUGGAGUGUAGUUACUCUAGAAACGCAUCUUCAUUGUUCGAAAAAAAAAAAUUCUUUUUCUUUAUUAAGUUUUGAUGUUCAUUUUUCUUCUUCUUUUUAUUUUCUCCUCUAUAAAUAUACAUUUUCCAACUUUUGAGUCGAAGAUGGCUGAAUAUGGAGAGUAGUGCCUCUAGAAACGCAUCUUCUAAGUUAAAAAAAAAAACCAUUUUCGUUUUCUAUCAUUUUAAGUGAAACUUUUCUAAUUAGUUUUUAUGCAUCAUUUUCAUAUCUCUACAUACAUAUUUUCCUUUCAUGUUUAGAAUAGGUUGGGGGGUAGAAUGUUGUUUAAAAAAAAAAUUGUGUGAUUUGUUUUAACAUUGGAUGACAUGAUUAAUUUCAAAUUUUAGUAUUUGUAUUAUCUUUGGUCUUAAGUGAUGUUACGCUAUGUUUGCUACUUUACAUGUUGAUGUCGGAGACAAAUAUGAGUUGCUUGAAGGAAUGAACAUGUCAUAAAUAAAUGCCAAGUGAGUUGUUGAGCCUAUCACUUUCUUGGAGAGUAACCCUUUUGCCCAUUCUCUCUACAGCUUAGCAAUUUAUUAUUUUAUACACGAUCUCUAAAUUUCUUUUGAGUUAACCCUAAAAAAAAAAAAUAUUGUAAAAUAAAAAAAAAGAGAAAAAAAAAUGUGUUGCUACAUUAGGAGGCCCAUCUAACUAGUAGACAUGGAUAAUUAUUUAGAGCCCUAAAAGACGAUGGAAAGGCCAUCUUUGAUCCGUUUGAGCCUUUCUAGCCAUCCCUUUUAUUAAAUAUUCAUAGUUACCCAUUUUGAGCCUUUAAAAAAAAAAAACCUUUUCUUUGUCAACUUAUCAUCUUGACCCACUUCGAUUUGGAGUAUUACCCGAUGUCUUAUAAGUUCCAUCACCUAUUUAUGUUUGAGAAAAAUAUAAAUAAUUAUUUUGUUCAGUGAAUUUAUGCCAAAAAAAAAAGAGAAAAAAAAGUUGUUGUUUCAAAAGAAUAAAAAUAAAAAUAAUAGGUGAAAUCCACCUUGUAACUUCUAAAAAAAAAAAAAAAACAUUCUCUGCAUUUUUUUCAAACAUACACUUUAUUUUCCUUAUUUCCCUUCUUUGUUAGCCAUGUCCCUAGCCUACGUUACGUCCUAAUAAAAGUCUUUCUUGAUUUUAGGGAACUAUAGUUUGAAGUAGAAGCUAGUUAUAUGGGCUAAAAAGAUGUAGUGAUGCAUAAUUAAAAAAAAAAGAUAAAUAAAGUGGGUUGACUUACAUUUUAUUUGACUUGAGAUCGUAUUAUUUCUAAGCUGAGGGCAUAUUUAUUUCAUCUUGGUGAGAGCAUGUGAUAUCACUUCUUUAUUAUUUUCUCUCUCAAUUACCAUUCAUUGGAGUGACUAUUUUUAUUGGGUUUAAUUUAUUUGUGAGAGUGUCACUACUUCCAGUGAGAUUUUGGGGUUUGACAUGUCAUUCUUGAAAGUAGCUAUAACAAAGUCUACUGGACUAAUUCAUGUGGAUGGUUGAUGUGGGUGUGAUGUUGCUUUAGACUGGAGAUAAUGCUUAUACUUUUAUUUGAUUGCUAUCAUUAAUCUGAUUGAAUAAACACGAGUGUUUCUAAAAAAAAAAAAAAAUCAUUUUGAAUUUGAAUUUUGUUUUCGCUUUAUUUGCUAGGGACUAGCAAUAAGCUGGUUGGGGGGUGUGUUGCGUGUUAGAAAAUGCAUAUUUAUAAAAGAGAAAACCGUCAUUUUACAUUUCAAGUCUUACUAACAACCCUUACUUUUAUGUAUUUAACCUUCUUGUGAUUUAAUUACAUGUGUUUUAUUUUAAUUAAGUAUUUUAUGUAUUUUAGGGGCAUUAUAGUCAUUUCACAAUAAAGGAGAAAUCAGACGGCAAAACGAACAUCACUUUUGAACUCAGGACUGUCAAAAACCUUAGGAGGAGCAUAAAAGGAAAAAUGGCACUAUUCACGUGUACGGUACUGUAUACGUUACUGUUCACGACACUGUUCACAUAGACGGAUGAUGACGUGGGAUUGACCGAUGAUGUGGCAUUGACUGAUGAGGUGUCACGAUCCUGUUGGACUAAAAUUCUUGUGUACUGUUGAUGAUGACGUGGCAGCAUAUCAGUGGACGAAAAAUCUCGCGUACGGUGCAUGCAUCACACAGGAUUAUUUUCAACCAAACCGCGUUACUGUUCAUCCGGGUCAAACCGUGUUACUGUUCAUCCACGUGGUCAAACCGUGGACUGUUGACUGAUGACGUGGCGCAAUCCUGAGCGUCCAAACUGUUUUUAAUCCGAUGGCCAUGAUUUACUCCAUGUAUCUAUAAAAAAGGGGCCUCUCCCCCCUAAUUUGAUAUCUCUGAAUCCAUUUUUGGGAUCCAUUUUCUGUAAUUCCUUCUCCAUCUUGUAUUUUCUUCGUAUUUUAAUAAAUUCCCAUUUUGCCCCUAGUUCAAUUAUAAGUGGCUAAUUUUCUUUCAAGCUUGGGUUGAAGGUGAAGUCUCAACAUGUGUCAUGAGCUUAAUUUGGUAAAUUUAUUUUCUCUUCCCCUCUAAUUUUUGUGGAUGUUUUGACUUCUCGUCGACAAAUAAUAAUAGUCUUGUCUAGAUACCGCCUUGGUUACACCGGCUCUCUAGUAUAAGGUUAUUAUUAUUUGGCACGAUAAGCCCUUAGCACCAUAUUGAUUAGAGCGUGGUUCAUGAGGUGUGGAUUCCCCCCUCAUGAUUUAAUUGGCAUUAAUGCGGAUUAUUUAGCCCAUGAUGCAUGUUGAUACGGAUCCAGAUACCCAAGUACGUCAAUUUAAUAGAUUUUCUCUUCAAUUUAUUCUCUCCAUUGCAAUUCCAAUUUUAGAAUUUAUUCUUGCCAUUUUAAUUUAAGUAUUAGCAUAUUCCAAAUCAUUUCCACCAUAAAUCCAACUACCCAUUUACAAAAUUAAUUCUAUAUAUAAUUAAAAUCAACUUCCUCGUGGGAUCGACACUCGUCACCAUUAGUCUAUACUACAAUAGAUUCGUGCGCUUGCGAGUACAUUAAAAUUUGCACAACAGUGUCUUUGACAUUUUCCUAAUUUAAAUUGAUAGUUUUGAUAUUUAGAUAAAAUUGGUGUAGCUAUGUGAUAAUUGCUACUGAUAUUUGCCAGUUCCCACUUCCAAUUCUUUCGUUCGGUAGCAGGUUUCAUGCGUAAAAAGGGAAUAGGUUUCAAAAUAAAAAAUAAAAACGACUGUAUGGCAUGCAGUGGCUGUAUUAUAAGCGGACCCUAUAUUUUUGGGGGCCAGGCAACCUAAUUCUACAUGGAUUUGACCGAGCAUAAUAAAAAGCCAAUCUUUGGCUUUUGAAUAGGGUGUCGCCAAAAGGCGAAAUACGGAAGACAGAGAGACGAGCAGCAGUAGAGAAGCAGAGAAAAAUAGUUUUGAGGAGAGAAAAAGAGAGCAAAGUAAGUGGAGAUUCGAGAAGGGUUGUCUGUGCCCAGAAUGUUUCACCACUAUUGUUUAUCUUUGGAAAUAUGAAUGUCAUUACUUUGUAUUUUUGCUUUUAGUUUCUUUAUUUUUUAUUAUUU
This 13974-nucleotide long non-coding RNA is filed under the name Citrus x clementina. Its description in RNAcentral is "Citrus clementina (C. clementina) long non-coding RNA (CCLE_LNC005437)". The record is from RNAcentral. Lineage: Eukaryota; Viridiplantae; Streptophyta; Magnoliopsida; Sapindales; Rutaceae.